UUUAUAGAAUAUGUAUGUAA
RNAcentral lists this microRNA (20 nucleotides) under Ciona intestinalis (vase tunicate). RNAcentral describes it as "cin-miR-4210-5p". The record is from miRBase by way of RNAcentral. Lineage: Eukaryota; Metazoa; Chordata; Ascidiacea; Phlebobranchia; Cionidae.